Molecule: ribosomal RNA, 254 nt
Filed under: uncultured bacterium
Lineage: Bacteria
Description: partial small subunit ribosomal RNA
Rfam family: Bacterial small subunit ribosomal RNA
Source: RNAcentral
AGAAUCAACGCUGGCGGCGUGCCUAACACAUGCAAGUCGAGCGGAAAGGCCCUUCGGGGUACUCGAGCGGCGAACGGGUGAGUAACACGUGAGUAACCUGCCCCUAGCUCUGGGAUAGCUCCGGGAAACCGGGAUUAAUACCAUAUACGACCACUUUAGACAUCUGUCGUGGUGGAAAGGAUUCCGGCUAGGGAUGGGCUCGCGGCCUAUCAGCUUGUUGGUGGGGUAACGGCCUACCAAGGCGACGACGGGUA